GCAUGUAUUUACUUUCUGGCACUGAAAGAAAUUUUGUAUAUUUCCUGCCCUUUCCUAGAAUCAGCCAUUUUUCCAAGGAGUCCUGGUUGCUUUUAUUUGUGAGUGGUAUUAGAAACUAGGAUGUGGGCACUAUGGGUGCUUGUUGCUAUUGGUGUGUUGUUGUUUCUAGGCCUUCUUAGCUGAAAAAUGGAAAACAAAUGUGUUUAUACUAACUCGUGUACAUACUUGUAAAUGUUUUUGUAUAUAACCAUUUAUAUCUGUAUUAAGUCAUGUUAUUGGGUACAUACAGAUUUAUAAUUGCUAUAUCUUCCUUGUUGGUUUUCCCUUUUGUUAUUAGGACAUGUUUCUUUUCAUCUCUAGAAAUAUUCUUGUCUUAAUGUCUACUUUGUUAUAACUACACAAGCUAAUUAGUUACAUAUUUUAAAAACUGCUCUUUACCAUUUGCAUUUUUUUAAAACAGAUUUUAAUGCUGUAUUGAAAUUCUUCCUCUUUUUCUCUAUUUUCUUUCAUAGUUUUAAAAUAUUUUUCUUGCUGGCAGCCACCAGAAACUGGAAGAGGCAAGGAAUAGAUUCUCUCCUAGAGCCUCCAGAGGGAGCACAUCUUUGCUGACACCUUGAUUUUUGCCCAGUGAACAGAUGUGGAACCCCUGGCCUCCAGAACUAUGAGAGAAUAAAUUCCUCUUGUUUUAGCCAA
RNAcentral lists this long non-coding RNA (693 nucleotides) under Homo sapiens (human). Its description in RNAcentral is "HSALNT0302648". Lineage: Eukaryota; Metazoa; Chordata; Mammalia; Primates; Hominidae. The record is from RNAcentral.